AUUAGAUUAAAUAGAGUGGUGGAUCUGUUAACUUCGGUUAACCCCAGUAGAGAACCUACUACAUAUCAAAGUGGUAAACAUGUGAAAUUCUUUUAUUAAAAGUUAGUAAGACGAGGGUUCGAAUCCCUCAUGCUCCA
This 137-nucleotide transfer RNA is filed under the name Caudoviricetes sp. RNAcentral describes it as "tRNA-Arg". The record is from RNAcentral. Lineage: Duplodnaviria; Heunggongvirae; Uroviricota; Caudoviricetes.